This 218-nucleotide long non-coding RNA is filed under the name Vitis vinifera (wine grape). RNAcentral's name for it is "long non-coding RNA (VVIN_LNC007258)". Lineage: Eukaryota; Viridiplantae; Streptophyta; Magnoliopsida; Vitales; Vitaceae. The record is from RNAcentral.
CUUAAGAUGAGAAACCAAAUGAACAAAGCAUAAGCUGAGAUAGAACCUAGGAUGGUGUUCCAAUGCCGAGAAAGCAAAUGAAUAAAGAAGAAAGUAAGAUAGAACCUAUGAUGCUGUCCCAAUGUUGACAAAGCAAAUGAACAAAGAAUAAACUAAGAGAGAACCUAGAAUGGUGUCUCAAUGACAAGAAACAAAAUGAACACACAAUUAUGAGAAAC